RNAcentral lists this ribosomal RNA (490 nucleotides) under uncultured bacterium. RNAcentral describes it as "partial 16S ribosomal RNA". It matches the Rfam family "Bacterial small subunit ribosomal RNA", at positions 28 to 507 of the family's 1533-position model. The record is from RNAcentral.
GAUGAACGCUAGCGAUAGGCUUAACACAUGCAAGUCGAGUGGCAGCAUGGUCUUAGCUUGCUAAGACUGAUGGCGACCGGCGCACGGGUGCGUAACGCGUAUGCAACUUGCCUCACAGAGGGGGAUAACCCGUCGAAAGACGGACUAAUACCGCGUACACUCCAUCUUGGGCAUCCAAGGUAGAGGAAAUGAAAUUCGCUGUGAGAUAGGCAUGCGUCCCAUUAGCUAGUUGGUGAGUUAACGGCUCACCAAGGCGACGAUGGGUAGGGGAACUGAGAGGUUGAACCCCCACACUGGUACGGAGACACGGACCAGACGCCUACGGGAGGCAGCAGUGAGGAAUAUUGGUCAAUGGGCGAGAGCCUGAACCAGCAAAGUCGCGUGAAGGAUGACUGUCUUAUGGAUUGUAAACUUCUUUUAUACGGGAAUAACAAGAGUCACGUGUGACUCCCUGCAUGUACCGUAUGAAUAAGCAUCGGCUAACUCCGUG